GCUGUUGAUAAACACCAACAGGCCCGGAAGCUGCAAAAACGUGCAGAUGCAGAGCUGAAAUCGAUGCGGGAUUGACCGAAAAACUGCGCACAGGCUGCGUCGAUAUUUGGCACUCAUAAACGCCAGCAUCACGCUGUUGGGCCCAUUUGAUUUGCAAGGUCCACUCGUCGAUGUCGCGAUGAUACGAGGUCUGGAACCGCUGAUCUGUGGUAUAUGUGUACGUGCCCACAGUCAGUAUGUGGAGGUCGCGAUGCCGGAUCCAAGCAACCUGUAAUUAAACGAAAACAUUUGCGUACGCUUUAAAUAAGCCUCAAUAACAGCCUGUCUAGACUUGCAAGAUGUGCCUUUUAUACGACCAUACUAUGCUUAGGUACCCAAGUAUUAUAAGCAGAUGUAUAUAUGUUUAUUUUUGUAUUCUUCAAUUUGCAUUUGCAUUUUAAAAACCUUUGCCAAUUUGGCGCACACAAAACAAA
Scaptodrosophila lebanonensis is the source of this 473-nucleotide long non-coding RNA. RefSeq lists it as uncharacterized. The transcript is spliced from 2 exons. The record is from RefSeq and is a predicted model, not a curated record. Lineage: Eukaryota; Metazoa; Arthropoda; Insecta; Diptera; Drosophilidae.